This 488-nucleotide ribosomal RNA is filed under the name uncultured Pseudomonadota bacterium. RNAcentral's name for it is "bacterial SSU rRNA". It matches the Rfam family "Bacterial small subunit ribosomal RNA", at positions 224 to 704 of the family's 1533-position model. Lineage: Bacteria; Pseudomonadati; Pseudomonadota. The record is from RNAcentral.
GAUGAGCCGAAGUCGGAUUAGCUAGUUGGUGAGGUAACGGCUCACCAAGGCGACAAUCCGUAGCUGGUCUGAGAGGACGACCAGCCACACUGGGACUGAGACACGGCCCAGACUCCUACGGGAGGCAGCAGUGGGGAAUAUUGGACAAUGGGGGCAACCCUGAUCCAGCGACGCCGCGUGUGUGAAGAAGGCCUGCGGGUUGUAAAGCACUUUUAGUGGGGAUGAAAAGCCUAGGGUUAAUACCUCUGGGUCUUGACCUAACCCACAGAAAAAGCACCGGCUAACUCUGUGCCAGCAGCCGCGGUAAUACAGAGGGCGCAAGCGUUAAUCGGAAUUACUGGGCGUAAAGCGUGCGUAGACGGUUAUGUAAGUUAGGUGUGAAAGCCCCGGGCUCAACCUGGGAAUUGCAUUUAAGACUGCAUAGCUAGGGUGCGGAAGAGGGAAGCGGAAUUUCCGGUGUAGCGGUGAAAUGCGUAGAUAUCGGAAGG